This 450-nucleotide ribosomal RNA is filed under the name uncultured bacterium. RNAcentral's name for it is "bacterial SSU rRNA". It matches the Rfam family "Bacterial small subunit ribosomal RNA", at positions 355 to 825 of the family's 1533-position model. The record is from RNAcentral.
UAGGGAAUAUUGCACAAUGGGGGAAACCCUGAUGCAGCGACGCCGCGUGAGUGAUGAAGGCCUUCGGGUCGUAAAGCUCUGUUGAACGGGAAGAAACAAAUGACGGUACCGUUUAAGAAAGGAUCGGCUAACUUCGUGCCAGCAGCCGCGGUAAUACGAGGGAUCCUAGCGUUGUUCGGAAUCAUUGGGCGUAAAGAGUAUGUAGGCGGCCUAGUAAGUCAGUUGUGAAAGCCCCGGGCUCAACCCGGGAAGUGCAAUUGAUACUGCUUGGCUUGAAUGUGGAAGAGGGCAGUAGAAUUCCAGGUGUAGUGGUGAAAUACGUAGAUAUCUGGAGGAAUACCGGUGGCGAAGGCGGCUGCCUGGUCCUACAUUGACGCUGAGAUACGAAAGCGUGGGGAGCAAACAGGAUUAGAUACCCGAGUAGUCCCUGAGCGGGCUGGCAAGGCGCAU